UACCAGCACCCCGAGUGGUCGUGACGAUUAUUGGGCCUAAAGCAUCCGUAGCCGGUUCUACAAGUCUUCCGUUAAAUCCACCUGCUUAACAGAUGGGCUGCGGAGGAUACUAUGGAGCUAGGAGGCGGGAGAGGCAAGCGGUACUUAGUUGGUAGGGGUAAAAUCCGUUGAUCCAUUGAAGACCACCAGUGGCGAAGGCUGCUUGCCAGAACGCACUCGACGGUGAGGGAUGAAAGCUGGGGGAGCAAACCGG
RNAcentral lists this ribosomal RNA (253 nucleotides) under uncultured bacterium. Its description in RNAcentral is "partial 16S ribosomal RNA". It matches the Rfam family "Archaeal small subunit ribosomal RNA", at positions 474 to 727 of the family's 1478-position model. The record is from RNAcentral.